Molecule: ribosomal RNA, 1953 nt
Filed under: human gut metagenome
Description: bacterial LSU rRNA
Rfam family: Bacterial large subunit ribosomal RNA
Source: RNAcentral
UAAAGCAAGAAAGGGCGUAUGGGGAAUGCCUAGGCACACUCCGGCGAAGAAGGACGCAGCAAACAGCGAAAUGCGACGGUGAGCGGUAAGCACGUGAAGAGCCGUCGAUAUCCGAAUGGGGGAACCCACACGGAGUCAUAUCCGUGUAUCACAUGUCGAAUACAUAGACAUGAUGAGGCGAGACGCAGGGAACUGAAACAUCUAAGUACCUGCAGGAAGAGAAAAUAAGAAUGAUUUUCUGAGUAGCGGCGAGCGAAAGGGAAAGAGCCCAAACCGAUCUUAGGAUCGGGGUAGUAGGAUCAUCGAGAAAUCUGACAGAGGAUCAUAGAGGAAUCACAUGGGAAGGUGAGCGAGAGAGGGUGAGAGCCCCGUACUCGAAAUGAGAGACUGGAGAGAGAUGACACCUGAGUAGGGCGGGACACGAGAAAUCCUGUCUGAAUCAGCCGGGACCAUCCGGCAAGGCUAAAUACGAGAGAGUGACCGAUAGUGAACCAGUACCGUGAGGGAAAGGUGAAAAGAACCCCGGGAGGGGAGUGAAAGAGAACCUGAAACCAUAUGCCUACAAGAAGUCAGAGCCCGUUAAAGGGUGAUGGCGUGCCUUUUGUAGAAUGAACCGGCGAGUUACUGUAUGGAGCGAGGUUAAGCAGGAUAUGCGGAGCCGAAGCGAAAGCGAGUCUUAAGAGGGCGAGAGUUGCAUGCAGUAGACCCGAAACCGGGUGAUCUAGCCAUGACCAGGUUGAAGUUGGGGUAAAACCCGAUGGAGGACCGAACCGACCCCCGUUGAAACGUUGGCGGAUGAGUUGUGGCUAGGGGUGAAAUUCCAAUCGAACCCGGAGAUAGCUGGUUCUCCCCGAAAUAGCUUUAGGGCUAGCGUCGGAAAGAACCUUAGUGAAGGUAGAGCACUGAAUGUGUGAUGGCCCCAUCCCGGGGUACUGAAUACAAUCAAACUGCGAAUGUCAUUAAGGAUGUCCGGCAGUCAGACUGUGAGUGAUAAGGUCCAUGGUCAAGAGGGAAACAGCCCAGACCGCCAGUUAAGGUCCCAAAAUACAGGCUAAGUGGAAAAGGAUGUGGGGAUGCCCAGACAACUAGGAGGUUGGCUCAGAAGCAGCCAUCCUUUAAAGAGUGCGUAACAGCUCACUAGUCGAAUGACUCUGCGCCGAUAAUUUACCGGGGCUAAGCAUACUACCGAAGCUAUGGAUCCCAAGGGAUGGUAGGGGAGCGUUCCAUGAACGGAGAAGUACGACCGAAAGGACGUGUGGAGAUCAUGGAAGAGAGAAUGCCGGUGUGAGUAGCGGAACGUGGGUGAGAAUCCCACGCACCGAAAACCCAAGGUUUCCAGAGGAAGGUUCGUCCGCUCUGGGUAAGUCGGGACCUAAGGCGAGGCCGAAAGGCGUAGUCGAUGGACAACAGGUAGAGAUUCCUGUACCCGUAUAUAUGUGAAGGAAUGACGGAGAGAGGAAGCUGCAGCCAGCGGCUGGAAGAGCUGGUGCAAGCGAGAUAUCGGGAUGGCAGGCAAAUCCACCAUCCGAAACGAGAAGGCGUGAAGCGUACGGAAAGCUACGGCGAGUACGGAAGGCAGUGGAGGAACUUCCAAGAAAAGUUUCUAACGUUAAGUAUAUAUGGCCCGUACCGAAAAUGGACACACAUGGGUGAGGAGAGAAUCCUAAGGUGAGCGAGAGAACUAUAGCUAAGGAACUCUGCAAAAUGACUCCGUAACUUAGGGAGAAGGAGUGCUCAUAGAGAUAUGAGCCGCAGUGAAACGGCCCAAGCGACUGUUUACCAAAAACACAGCUCUCUGCUAAGCCGCAAGGCGAAGUAUAGGGGGUGACGCCUGCCCGGUGCUGGAAGGUUAAGGGGAGGGGUUAACGCAAGUGAAGCCCUGAACUGAAGCCCCAGUAAACGGCGGCCGUAACUAUAACGGUCCUAAGGUAGCGAAAUUCCUUGUCAGGUAAG